GUGCCAGCCGCCGCGGUAAUACGGAGGGUGCAAGCGUUAUCCGGAAUCACUGGGUUUAAAGGGUGCGUAGGCGGCUUGGUAAGUCAGGGGUGAAAGUCUGCCGCUCAACGGUAGAAUUGCCUUUGAUACUGCCAGGCUUGAAUAAGCGCGAGGCAGGCGGAAUGUGGCAUGUAGCGGUGAAAUGCAUAGAUAUGCCAUAGAACACCAAUUGCGUAGGCAGCUUGCCAGAGCUUUAUUGACGCUGAGGCACGAAAGCGUGGGGAGCGAACAGGAUUAGAUACCCUGGUAGUCCACGCCCUAAACGAUGCUUACUCGACGUACGUUUUUUGGAAUGUGCGUCCAAGCGAAAGCGCUAAGUAAGCCACCUGGGGAGUACGCCGGCAACGGUGAAACUCAAAUGAAUUGGCGG
Molecule: ribosomal RNA, 409 nt
Filed under: uncultured bacterium
Lineage: Bacteria
Description: bacterial SSU rRNA
Rfam family: Bacterial small subunit ribosomal RNA
Source: RNAcentral